GCUCAGUUGGUAGAGCAUGGUGUUUGCAAUGCCAGCAUGGUGUGUGCAAUGCCAGGGUUGUGGGUUCGAUUCCCAC
RNAcentral lists this transfer RNA (76 nucleotides) under Salmo salar (Atlantic salmon). It matches the Rfam family "tRNA", at positions 10 to 63 of the family's 71-position model. Rfam says of the family: Transfer RNA (tRNA) molecules are approximately 80 nucleotides in length. The record is from Rfam by way of RNAcentral. Lineage: Eukaryota; Metazoa; Chordata; Actinopteri; Salmoniformes; Salmonidae.